Molecule: ribosomal RNA, 236 nt
Filed under: uncultured bacterium
Lineage: Bacteria
Description: partial 16S ribosomal RNA
Rfam family: Bacterial small subunit ribosomal RNA
Source: RNAcentral
CGGGACGGGUGAGUAACGCGUGGGUAACCUGCCUCAUACAGGGGGAUAACAGUUAGAAAUAGGCUGCUAAUACCGCAUAAGACCACAGACUGCAUGGUACAGUGGUAAAAACUCCGGUGGUAUGAGAUGGACCCGCGUCUGAUUAGGUAGUUGGUGAGGUAACGGCCCACCAAGCCGACGAUCAGUAGCCGACCUGAGAGGGUGACCGGCCACAUUGGGACUGAGACACGGCCCAG